This 488-nucleotide ribosomal RNA is filed under the name Flavobacteriaceae bacterium JJ-1225. Its description in RNAcentral is "bacterial SSU rRNA". It matches the Rfam family "Bacterial small subunit ribosomal RNA", at positions 8 to 497 of the family's 1533-position model. The record is from RNAcentral. Lineage: Bacteria; Pseudomonadati; Bacteroidota; Flavobacteriia; Flavobacteriales; Flavobacteriaceae.
AGAGUUUGAAUCCUGGCUCAGGAUGAACGCUAGCGGCAGGCUUAACACAUGCAAGUCGAGGGGUAUAAGUCUUCGGAUUUAGAGACCGGCGCACGGGUGCGUAACGCGUAUGCAAUCUACCUUUUACAGAGGGAUAGCCCAGAGAAAUUUGGAUUAAUACCUCAUAGUAUUAUAGAAUGGCAUCAUUUUAUAAUUAAAGUCACAACGGUAAAAGAUGAGCAUGCGUCCCAUUAGCUAGUUGGUAAGGUAACGGCUUACCAAGGCUACGAUGGGUAGGGGUCCUGAGAGGGAGAUCCCCCACACUGGUACUGAGACACGGACCAGACUCCUACGGGAGGCAGCAGUGAGGAAUAUUGGACAAUGGGCGCAAGCCUGAUCCAGCCAUGCCGCGUGCAGGAUGACGGUCCUAUGGAUUGUAAACUGCUUUUAUACGAGAAGAAACACUCCUUCGUGAAGGAAUUUGACGGUAUCGUAAGAAUAAGAUCGGC